This 460-nucleotide ribosomal RNA is filed under the name uncultured bacterium. RNAcentral's name for it is "partial 16S ribosomal RNA". It matches the Rfam family "Bacterial small subunit ribosomal RNA", at positions 338 to 795 of the family's 1533-position model. The record is from RNAcentral.
CCUACGGGAGGCUGCAGUGAGGAAUAUUGGUCAAUGGACGAGAGUCUGAACCAGCCAAGUAGCGUGAAGGAUGACUGCCCUAUGGGUUGUAAACUUCUUUUAUAAAGGAAUAAAACGAGGCACGUGUGCCGUUUUGCAUGUACUUUAUGAAUAAGGAUCGGCUAACUCCGUGCCAGCAGCCGCGGUAAUACGGAGGAUCCGAGCGUUAUCCGGAUUUAUUGGGUUUAAAGGGAGCGUAGAUGGGUUGUUAAGUCAGUUGUGAAAGUUUGCGACUCAACCGUAAAAUUGCAAUUGAUACUGGCAGUCUUGAGUACAGUUGAGGUAAGCGGAAUUCGUGGUGUAGCAGUGAAAUGCUUAGAUAUCACGAAGAACCCCGAUUGCGAAGGCAGCUUACUAAACUGUGACUGACAUUGAUGCUCGAAAGUGUGGGUAUCAAACAGGAUUAGAUACCCUGGUAGUC